This 515-nucleotide ribosomal RNA is filed under the name uncultured bacterium. RNAcentral describes it as "partial 16S ribosomal RNA". It matches the Rfam family "Bacterial small subunit ribosomal RNA", at positions 28 to 523 of the family's 1533-position model. The record is from RNAcentral.
GAUGAACGCUGGCGGCGUGCCUAAUGCAUGCAAGUCGAGCGAAUGGAUUAAGAGCUUGCUCUUAUGAAGUUAGCGGCGGACGGGUGAGUAACACGUGGGUAACCUGCCCAUAAGACUGGGAUAACUCCGGGAAACCGGGGCUAAUACCGGAUAACAUUUUGAACCGCAUGGUUCGAAAUUGAAAGGCGGCUUCGGCUGUCACUUAUGGAUGGACCCGGGUCGCAUUAGCUAGUUGGUGAGGUAACGGCUCACCAAGGCAACGAUGCGUAGCCGACCUGAGAGGGUGAUCGGCCACACUGGGACUGAGACACGGCCCAGACUCCUACGGGAGGCAGCAGUAGGGAAUCUUCCGCAAUGGACGAAAGUCUGACGGAGCAACGCCGCGUGAGUGAUGAAGGCUUUCGGGUCGUAAAACUCUGUUGUUAGGGAAGAACAAGUGCUAGUUGAAUAAGCUGGCACCUUGACGGUACCUAACCAGAGAGCCACGGCUAACUACGUGCCAGCAGCCGCGGUAA